RNAcentral lists this ribosomal RNA (253 nucleotides) under uncultured bacterium. RNAcentral describes it as "partial 16S ribosomal RNA". It matches the Rfam family "Bacterial small subunit ribosomal RNA", at positions 524 to 776 of the family's 1533-position model. The record is from RNAcentral.
UACGUAGGUGGCAAGCGUUGUCCGGAUUUACUGGGCGUAAAGUGCGCGCAGGCGGUCGUUCAAGUCGCGUGUGAAAGCCCCCGGCUCAACUGGGGAGGGUCACGCGAUACUGAUCGACUCGAAGGCAGGAGAGGGGAGUGGAAUUCCCGGUGUAGUGGUGAAAUGCGUAGAUAUCGGGAGGAACACCAGUGGCGAAGGCGACUUCCUGGCCUGUUCUUGACGCUGAGGCGCGAAAGCUAGGGGAGCAAACGGG